RNAcentral lists this small nucleolar RNA (133 nucleotides) under Catagonus wagneri (Chacoan peccary). RNAcentral's name for it is "Small nucleolar RNA SNORA72 (ENSCWAG00000009867.1)". It matches the Rfam family "Small nucleolar RNA SNORA72". Rfam says of the family: U72 is a member of the H/ACA class of snoRNAs. The snoRNA gene is located in intron 4 of the ribosomal L30 protein gene in human, mouse and chicken. Lineage: Eukaryota; Metazoa; Chordata; Mammalia; Artiodactyla; Tayassuidae. The record is from Rfam by way of RNAcentral.
CCGCGAAUGUUCUUGCUCUUCCGAUAUUUUGAUAAUCCAGGAAGGCUAAACACUCACUAUUAUUAAGACCAUAUACGUGUCCCCAGACCUAGUUCUUUUCCUAGGUCUGGUUUUAUAAACGCUGGUGAUAAAC